Molecule: ribosomal RNA, 507 nt
Filed under: uncultured bacterium
Lineage: Bacteria
Description: partial 16S ribosomal RNA
Rfam family: Bacterial small subunit ribosomal RNA
Source: RNAcentral
GACGAACGCUGGCGGCGUGCUUAACACAUGCAAGUCGAACGGGCCUUGUCCCCUUUUUUUUGGGGGUGGGGUUAGUGGCGAACGGGUGAGUAACACGUGAGUAACCUGCCCCUCACUUCUGGAUAACCGCUUGAAAGGGUGGCUAAUACGGGGUGUUCUGGCCUGCUCGCAUGGGUGGGUUUGGAAAGAUUCGACCGGUUUUGGUUGUUUUGGUGGGGGAUGGGCUCGCGGCCUAUCAGCUUGUUGGUGGGGUGAUGGCCUGCCAAGGCUUUGACGGGUAGCCGGCCUGAGAGGGUGGGCGGUCACACUGGGACUGAGACACGGCCCAGACUCCUACGGGAGGCAGCAGUGGGGAAUAUUGCACAAUGGGCGCAAGCCUGAUGCAGCGACGCCGCGUGAGGGAUGGAGGCCUUCGGGUUGUGAACCUCUUUCGCCAGUGAAGGAGGUCCUGCUCUUUGUGGUGGGGUUGACGGUAGCGGGGUUAAUGAAGCGCCGGCUAACUACGUG